Molecule: ribosomal RNA, 253 nt
Filed under: uncultured bacterium
Lineage: Bacteria
Description: partial 16S ribosomal RNA
Rfam family: Bacterial small subunit ribosomal RNA
Source: RNAcentral
UACGUAGGGUGCAAGCGUUAAUCGGAAUUACUGGGCGUAAAGCGUGCGCAGGCGGUGAUGUAAGACAGUUGUGAAAUCCCCGGGCUCAACCUGGGAACUGCAUCUGUGACUGCAUCGCUGGAGUGCGGCAGAGGGGGAUGGAAUUCCACGUGUAGCAGUGAAAUGCGUAGAGAUGUGGAGGAACACCGAUGGCGAAGGCAGCCCCCUGGGCUAACACUGACGCUCAGGCACGAAAGCGUGGGGAGCAAACAGG